Long non-coding RNA from Pseudomyrmex gracilis, 1341 nucleotides. RefSeq lists it as uncharacterized. The record is from RefSeq and is a predicted model, not a curated record. The transcript is spliced from 3 exons. NCBI's taxonomy places the organism in Eukaryota, Metazoa, Arthropoda, Insecta, Hymenoptera, Formicidae.
UGUUCUGUGUUCAAAAAUGAUUUUGUUCGAUUUUUUUUUUUUUGUUUACAGAGACGGUAAUGGAUUUGUAAAAUAUCCAAAAAUAUUUCUGCAGCUGUAAGAGGAACUUUGUAAGGCAUUUCAAUCAAUCAGGCAAAAUUGUCUGUUUUUACAGAUAUCUAUCAAGAUUUCUUCAGAGAGAAGAUGAAAUCUUAUCAUCGUUCGCAAGACAACCGCCUGUUUCCGUGCCCGAAUUGUCUCAGCAUCUUCACGUGGAAGAGCAGUUUGAACAGGCAUUUACGCAGCGAAUGCGGCAAGGAGCCGCGUUUCAAGUGUCCAUAUUGCGAGUAUCGUUGCAAGUUCAAAUCCGAUAUGAACAAACACAUUCGCAGAAUGCACAAGAAUUCUGCUGUCUAUGUCGUGAACAUACCGAGCAAUUCUUUCACAGAAGCAAAAGAGUAGCUCGAUGUUUUCUUGUUCUUAAAAAUUCUUAUAACAGAAUACGCUUCUUCAACACUAUACGUUACAUCAGAUACAAAUAUCCGUGCCCUACUCCAAAUUGCCGGAGCACUUUCGUGUGGAAGAGAAACCUGAUAAGCCAUCUUCGUUAUCAGUGCGGUCAGCUGCCCAGGUUCAAGUGUCCCUACUGCGACUGCAAGUGCAAGUACAAGACCGACGUACGGAAGCACGUACGGGCUAAGCAUAAGAAUCGUCACGUUUUCGUGAUUGACGAAGGCCAAUCAGAGAAAUCAACGUAGAAAGAAACAUUGGUUAAAGAUGAUUCUAACAAAUGCGAUCAAUAAGGAUAAUACAGGACGUUAAGGUAUUGGGAAGACUCUAUCCGCGUUUAAAACGAAAAAGAAAGAAGAAGUUCCCAUGCCCUCGAGAAAAUUGUGUCAGCAGUUAUACAGAACAGAAAAAUCUGGCAAGGCAUUUGAAGUAUGAGUGCGGACAAGAUCCACGUUUUCAGUGUCCGUAUUGCAAGUAUUGUAGCAAACAGACGUCGACCAUAUUUCAGCAUAUCAGGAGAUGGCACACAACUGCAAAAGUUUUUGCUAUGGAUAUUAUGUUGGGAACUUGUGUGGGCAAAUAUGCUUUUUCUUUGUGAGAUUUUUUAAGUUUUUUGAUAGAUUUUUUAUGUACGCGUGCUAUGCUAUGAUAAACAUAAGAUCGAAAAAAAUUGGGAGGAUAAACGAUGUGCCAGCAACUUUCGGUUACUUCCACAUGUUCAUUCUGUCUUGUAUUAUUACAUGCACGGUUACUUCCACAUGUUCAUUCUGUCUUAUAUUAUUACAUGUACGAGCGCAGUAAUACAAAUGUAAUAAAACUUAUCGAUUAAAUAAAAACAAUAAUAUAAUUAUA